Molecule: ribosomal RNA, 253 nt
Filed under: uncultured bacterium
Lineage: Bacteria
Description: partial 16S ribosomal RNA
Rfam family: Bacterial small subunit ribosomal RNA
Source: RNAcentral
UACGGAGGGUGCAAGCGUUAUCCGGAUUUACUGGGUUUAAAGGGUGCGUAGGCGGGCUUUUAAGUCAGCGGUGAAAUCUCCAGGCUCAACCUGGAGAUUGCCGUUGAUACUAUUAGUCUUGAAUUAAGUUGAGGUGGGCGGAAUAUGUCAUGUAGCGGUGAAAUGCUUAGAUAUGACAUAGAACACCGAUUGCGAAGGCAGCUCGCUAAACUUAUAUUGACGCUGAGGCACGAAAGCGUGGGGAUCAAACAGG